AUGAUGCCAGGGAGGAGCUCACUGGAGAGGAGAAGAGGAAAGGAGGGUGGGUGCAGAGAGGAUAACCCACCUCGGAAGCUGCAGAGGGGCCAGAGAAGCAAGACAGCCAUGCAGCAUGGCGGAGUUGAGGGUUCCCGAGCAUCAUUCGGCGCCCAGCAUCCCGCUACCCCGGAUCCUCCCGCGGGCGCGCACCGGGCUUAACUCAGGUAAGAGGGGCCCACCCACCACGGGCAUGGGGGUUGAGAACCAGAGACGGAGAUAAAAAGGCUUAAGACUCAGAGACACAGCCGGGGAGAAAGAGAGUCAGACACAAAGACACGCGAGAGACGCACAGAACUACAGAGACCUCACAGAGAGGGGAGUGAGACACGUCCACGGGAACAGAUGGACACACAGCGGGGAAGAAAGAGAGACGAGAGACACAAGAGACCUAGGCAUGCAGAGACUGAUCCAGAGAUACACAAAGAAAUAGACUAGGAGAGAAAGGAGACACAAGAGAGACACUCAGGACUCAGAGAUGGGGACACAUAAGAGAGACAGAUAUAAAGAGAGCUACAGAUGGGUACACACCGGAGGUGGGUAUACAGAGGCUGAGGUGCACAUCCAGGCAAGAACCAGGGACAGAGUAAGAGCCAGACACAGAGAUACACGCACCUGACCUGGUGAAACAGUCUCUCUGAGAGGUGCACCUAGGUACACAGUUUUGGAUACACAGACCCACACACGCCUGCCAGGCCUCCACAAAGUUCCCUCUGUGUGAGCUGGCACCUCUGGAGGUCUCCUGGGCUGGUUGGCUGAAGUCCUGAGAGCAGGGAGGUGCCCAGGCCACACCAAAGCUGGUCACAGUGCCCAUCCUUCAAGGCCUUGGGCUUCCUCAAUCCCACCCACUCUUACAGUUCUUCUGAGGGCUGAACGUUCAGUGGGCAGGUCCAGGCCAUGCCCACUCCGGCUUCCCCACUGUGGCCACACCCCCAUCCAGGUGCCCAGAGCCAGGUCCUGGCUCUGUGAGGUGUUUAGACCUGUUGGGAGGCCAGAGGUAUGGGAGGGGGCUCUCUUCUCCACCCUCUCCUCCUCGGCCUCAC
Molecule: long non-coding RNA, 1082 nt
Filed under: Capra hircus (goat)
Lineage: Eukaryota; Metazoa; Chordata; Mammalia; Artiodactyla; Bovidae
Description: lncRNA (ENSCHIG00010007565.1)
Source: RNAcentral